UUACACACACACUACAAGUAGGUUACACACCCCUUACUACCUGUGAGUUACACACACCCCAGAAAUAGGGGAAUUUGUCCCCAAAACCAUGCCGAGAAGCCUUUUUGGGUGAGGAUUUGAGGAAGGAAGCGGAGCCGCAAAGUUUGGGUUUAAUUUUAGUGGUUUUGGGUUUUCUUCUUCCCCUUUUUGAGCGGCCAGCGGGGGUUGGUUUGGGUGAUUUUGGGGUGGAAAGAAGGGAUUUUUUGGGUUUAAACUGCGGCGGUUUGGGAAAAGUUGUAAACACCUCGUGGUUGUGCUGAGGAAAGCGGAGAAAAGGGAGUAACAAAAUGCGGGAUUUCUGCCCAGCGUUUACCAUAUAUGGAAGAAAAGCAUCCUGCGCUUCAAAACAUCAAUAAAAAAGAAAAUAACGAGGAUUAAUUGAACCGUUUUCAGAGAAAUUUGCCUUUAAUUCUUUCCCCAGAAAAAAAAAAACAAAAACAAAAAACCACCGGUUGAGGAGCGGUAAAAGCGCCAUUUCUUAUCAGAAGGGGGCUUUUUGGGGGCAAAGAGGGAGAUUUUGGGUUCUCCCCCCAUUAUUUAGGCCCCCCCCUCCCCACUGGCGUCAUACAUGCCCAUUUUGCGGCCUUUCGCCCCAUUUUGGGGCUUUUGCUCUCUUUCGGGGGGGUCCUGUUUUGGGGAAGUUUUGCUCAGUUUGGGGACUCAACGCCGUGCUUUGGGGUAUGGCUACUCCAUUUUGGGGCCAGAUACCCUGUUUUGGGGCCGGAUGUUCAGUUUUGGGGUCAGACACCCCAUUUAGGGACUAGAUACUCUGUUUUUGGGCCAGACACCCUGUUUUGGGGCUAGACACUCCGUUUUGGGGCCAGACACCCUGUUUUGGGGCUGAACAACCCGUUUUGGGGCUGAACACCCCGUUUUGGGGCCAGACACCCAAUUUUUGGGGCCAAACACCCCGUUUUUGGGGCCUCAGGUGUCCGUCACCGUCCUUUAUUGGGGCGCUGCCCCUUCGGCCUCGGCCUCCGCGUCCCCAUCGGCCUCCUCCUCCUCCUCCUCCUCCUCCUCUUCCUCAUCUUCAUCCCCAUCUUCAUCUUCAUCAUCUUCAUCUUCCUCCUCCUCUUCCUCCUCCUCCUCCUCGCCGCCCCCCCCCCCGGUUGGUGUUGACGAACAGCUCCGGCUCCCCGCUCCUGGGGGGGGGGCAGCCCCUCGUUAAUCACCCCCCUCGUUAAUUAGCCCCCUCCUUAAUUACCCCCCGCCCUCAUUAAUUAGCCCCCACCCUUCUUAAUUGCCCCCCCCCCNNNNNNNNNNNNNNNNNNNNNNNNNNNNNNNNNNNNNNNNNNNNNNNNNNNNNNNNNNNNNNNNNNNNNNNNNNNNNNNNNNNNNNNNNNNNNNNNNNNNCCCCCCCCCCCAUUCAUCCCCCUCCCUGCCUUCAACUCCCCCUCCCCAAUUAAUUACCCUAUUAAUUAACCCCACUUAAUUACCAUAUUAAUUAACCUCAAUUAGUUACCCUACUAGUUAACCCCAAUUAAUUACCCUAUUAAUAACCCCAAUUAAUUAAACCCCAAUUAAUUACCCUAUUACUCCCAAAUUUAUUACCCUAUUAAUUAACCCCCAAUCAGUUACCCUAUUAAUUAGCCCCCAGUUAGUUACCCUAUUAAUCCCAAAUUGAUUACCCUAUUAAUUAACCCCCAAAUUAAUCACCCCAAUUAACCUCCCUGUUAAUUACCCUAUUUGUUCCUUCCCUCAUUAAUCACCCCGUUAAUCACCCUCAUUAAUUCCCACUGCUCCCAAUUAACCUUCCCCAUUAAUCCCACUCCCAAUUAACUCCCUCCUCAUUAAUCACCCCCCAUUAACUCCCCCUUCCCCAAGCCCCCCACUAAUUACUCUCCCCCCAUUAACCCCACGCUAAUUACUCCCCCCAUUAAUCCCCUCCUUAAUUUCUCCCCCAAUUCCCCUCCCACUAAUUACUCCCCCACUAAUUACUCUCCCCAUUUAUCACCCCUUCAUCCCCCAAUUAACCCCCCCACUAAUUACCCUCCCACAAACCCCUACUAAGCCCCAUUAACUACCUCUCCCCUAAUUAAUUACCCCCCGAUUAAUUACCCCCAAUUAACCCCCCUCCCAUUAACCCCCCACUAAUUAC
This 2137-nucleotide long non-coding RNA is filed under the name Anas platyrhynchos platyrhynchos (common mallard). RNAcentral's name for it is "lncRNA (ENSAPLG00000030523.1)". The record is from RNAcentral. Lineage: Eukaryota; Metazoa; Chordata; Aves; Anseriformes; Anatidae.